RNAcentral lists this ribosomal RNA (613 nucleotides) under Escherichia coli. RNAcentral's name for it is "partial 23S ribosomal RNA". It matches the Rfam family "Bacterial large subunit ribosomal RNA", at positions 2028 to 2640 of the family's 2925-position model. Lineage: Bacteria; Pseudomonadati; Pseudomonadota; Gammaproteobacteria; Enterobacterales; Enterobacteriaceae. The record is from RNAcentral.
GAGACUCAGUGAAAUUGAACUCGCUGUGAAGAUGCAGUGUACCCGCGGCAAGACGGAAAGACCCCGUGAACCUUUACUAUAGCUUGACACUGAACAUUGAGCCUUGAUGUGUAGGAUAGGUGGGAGGCUUUGAAGUGUGGACGCCAGUCUGCAUGGAGCCGACCUUGAAAUACCACCCUUUAAUGUUUGAUGUUCUAACGUGGACCCGUAAUCCGGGUUGCGGACAGUGUCUGGUGGGUAGUUUGACUGGGGCGGUCUCCUCCUAAAGAGUAACGGAGGAGCACGAAGGUUGGCUAAUCCUGGUCGGACAUCAGGAGGUUAGUGCAAUGGCAUAAGCCAGCUUGACUGCGAGCGUGACGGCGCGAGCAGGUGCGAAAGCAGGUCAUAGUGAUCCGGUGGUUCUGAAUGGAAGGGCCAUCGCUCAACGGAUAAAAGGUACUCCGGGGAUAACAGGCUGAUACCGCCCAAGAGUUCAUAUCGACGGCGGUGUUUGGCACCUCGAUGUCGGCUCAUCACAUCCUGGGGCUGAAGUAGGUCCCAAGGGUAUGGCUGUUCGCCAUUUAAAGUGGUACGCGAGCUGGGUUUAGAACGUCGUGAGACAGUUCGGUCCCUA